This 71-nucleotide transfer RNA is filed under the name Sphenoraia micans. Its description in RNAcentral is "tRNA-Lys". Lineage: Eukaryota; Metazoa; Arthropoda; Insecta; Coleoptera; Chrysomelidae. The record is from RNAcentral.
CAUUAGGUGGCUGAAAGUAAGCUAUGGAAUUUUAAACCAUUUUAUAAUAAAAUAACAUCUAUUCCUAAUGA